GUGGGGAAUCUUGCGCAAUGGGCGAAAGCCUGACGCAGCGACGCCGCGUGGAGGAUGACGGUCUUCGGGUUGUAAACUCCUGUCAGGGGUGAAGAAACUUCGCAAGAAGCUGACGGUAACCCCAGAGGAAGCCCCGGCUAACUACGUGCCAGCAGCCGCGGUAAUACGUAGGGGGCAAGCGUUACUCGGAAUCACUGGGCGUAAAGGGUGUGUAGGCGGCUGGACAAGUCGGAGAUGAAAUCCCGAGGCUCAACUUCGGAACUGUCUUCGAUACUGUUCGGCUUGAGGGCAGAGGAAGAGAAUGGAAUUCCCGGUGGAGCGGUGAAAUGCGUAGAUAUCGGGAGGAACACCUGAGGCGAAAGCGAUUCUCUAUACUGUUCCUGACGCUGAGACACGAAAGCUAGGGGAGCAAACGGGAUUAGAAACCCCAGUAGUCC
RNAcentral lists this ribosomal RNA (437 nucleotides) under uncultured bacterium. RNAcentral describes it as "bacterial SSU rRNA". It matches the Rfam family "Bacterial small subunit ribosomal RNA", at positions 354 to 796 of the family's 1533-position model. The record is from RNAcentral.